Molecule: ribosomal RNA, 2230 nt
Filed under: Staphylococcus saccharolyticus
Lineage: Bacteria; Bacillati; Bacillota; Bacilli; Caryophanales; Staphylococcaceae
Description: partial 23S ribosomal RNA
Rfam family: Bacterial large subunit ribosomal RNA
Source: RNAcentral
GCGUUGAGUAUUUGGUCGUAGACCCGAAACCAGGUGAUCUACCCUUGGUCAGGUUGAAGUUCAGGUAACACUGAAUGGAGGACCGAACCGACUUACGUUGAAAAGUGAGCGGAUGAACUGAGGGUAGCGGAGAAAUUCCAAUCGAACUUGGAGAUAGCUGGUUCUCUCCGAAAUAGCUUUAGGGCUAGCCUCAAGUGAUGAUUAUUGGAGGUAGAGCACUGUUUGGACGAGGGGCCUCUCUCGGGUUACCGAAUUCAGACAAACUCCGAAUGCCAAUUAAUUUAACUUGGGAGUCAGAACAUGGGUGAUAAGGUCCGUGUUCGAAAGGGAAACAGCCCAGACCACCAGCUAAGGUCCCCAAAUAUAUGUUAAGUGGAAAAGGAUGUGGCGUUGCCCAGACAACUAGGAUGUUGGCUUAGAAGCAGCCAUCAUUUAAAGAGUGCGUAAUAGCUCACUAGUCGAGUGACACUGCGCCGAAAAUGUACCGGGGCUAAACAUAUUACCGAAGCUGUGGAUUGUCCUUCGGACAAUGGUAGGAGAGCGUUCUAAGGGCGUUGAAGCAUGAUCGCAAGGACAUGUGGAGCGUUUAGAAGUGAGAAUGCCGGUGUGAGUAGCGAAAGACGGGUGAGAAUCCCGUCCACCGAUUGACUAAGGUUUCCAGAGGAAGGCUCGUCCGCUCUGGGUUAGUCGGGUCCUAAGCUGAGGCCGACAGGCGUAGGCGAUGGAUAACAGGUUGAUAUUCCUGUACCACUUAGUAUCGUUUUAAUCGAUGGGGGGACGCAGUAGGAUAGGCGAAGCGUGCUGUUGGAGUGCACGUCUAAGCAGUAAGGCUGAGUGUUAGGCAAAUCCGGCACUCAUCAGGCUAAGCUGUGAUGGGGAGAGGAAAUUGUUUCCUCGAGUCGUUGAUUUCACACUGCCGAGAAAAGCCUCUAGAUAGAUAACAGGUGCCCGUACCGCAAACCGACACAGGUAGUCAAGAUGAGAAUUCUAAGGUGAGCGAGCGAACUCUCGUUAAGGAACUCGGCAAAAUGACCCCGUAACUUCGGGAGAAGGGGUGCUCUUUAGGGUUUACGCCCAGAAGAGCCGCAGUGAAUAGGCCCAAGCGACUGUUUAUCAAAAACACAGGUCUCUGCUAAACCGUAAGGUGAUGUAUAGGGGCUGACGCCUGCCCGGUGCUGGAAGGUUAAGAGGAGUGGUUAGCUUCUGCGAAGCCACGAAUCGAAGCCCCAGUAAACGGCGGCCGUAACUAUAACGGUCCUAAGGUAGCGAAAUUCCUUGUCGGGUAAGUUCCGACCCGCACGAAAGGCGUAACGAUUUGGGCACUGUCUCAACGAGAGACUCGGUGAAAUCAUAGUACCUGUGAAGAUGCAGGUUACCCGCGACAGGACGGAAAGACCCCGUGGAGCUUUACUGUAGCCUGAUAUUGAAAUUCGGCACAGCUUGUACAGGAUAGGUAGGAGCCAUUGAAACGUGAGCGCUAGCUUAUGUGGAGGCGUUGGUGGGAUACUACCCUAGCUGUGUUGGCUUUCUAACCCGCACCACUUAUCGUGGUGGGAGACAGUGUCAGGUGGGCAGUUUGACUGGGGCGGUCGCCUCCUAAAAGGUAACGGAGGCGCUCAAAGGUUCCCUCAGAAUGGUUGGAAAUCAUUCACAGAGUGUAAAGGCAUAAGGGAGCUUGACUGCGAGACUUACAAGUCGAGCAGGGUCGAAAGACGGACUUAGUGAUCCGGUGGUUCCAUAUGGAAGGGCCAUCGCUCAACGGAUAAAAGCUACCCCGGGGAUAACAGGCUUAUCUCCCCCAAGAGUUCACAUCGACGGGGAGGUUUGGCACCUCGAUGUCGGCUCAUCGCAUCCUGGGGCUGUAGUCGGUCCCAAGGGUUGGGCUGUUCGCCCAUUAAAGCGGUACGCGAGCUGGGUUCAGAACGUCGUGAGACAGUUCGGUCCCUAUCCGUCGUGGGCGUAGGAAAUUUGAGAGGAGCUGUCCUUAGUACGAGAGGACCGGGAUGGACAUACCUCUGGUGUACCAGUUGUCGUGCCAACGGCAUAGCUGGGUAGCUAUGUAUGGACGGGAUAAGUGCUGAAAGCAUCUAAGCAUGAAGCCCUCCUCAAGAUGAGAUUUCCCAACUUCGGUUAUAAGAUCCCUCGAAGAUGACGAGGUUAAUAGGUUCGAGGUGGAAGCGUGGUGACACGUGGAGCUGACGAAUACUAAUCGAUCGAAGACUUAAUCAAA